RNAcentral lists this ribosomal RNA (376 nucleotides) under uncultured Glomeromycotina. RNAcentral's name for it is "LSU rRNA". Lineage: Eukaryota; Fungi; Glomeromycota. The record is from RNAcentral.
UUGAAAGGGAAACGAUUGAAGUCCGUCNCGGNGGCNUGGGCGCGAAAUCAACCUUCUCGUCUCGAGAUCCNCNUGGCGUGGCGAGCCUCAAAACCGUCACGAAGCGUGAACUCUUGGUGAAAUGGAGCACUUUCGUGUCCGCUGGUUAACAUCAAUUUCGAACGUCAUAAAAAGGCUGGAGGGAUGUGGCUCCUUCGGGAGUGUUAUAACCUUUAGCGGAAUGUGGUGGUCGGGAUUGAGGAUUGCAACGAAUACCUUUAGGGCUGUUCCACCUGGCUUCUCAUUGGUAUCCUGGUGACGACAGCUUGCUGACGUUGUUAGGAUUCGCCUUUGAACAGGCUAGAGUGNGAGCAAAUUCGUUAAGGAUGUUGACGUA